GGGAAGUACAUGAAGCUCAGAAUUAUCAAUACUGUUGACGUUUCCUGCGUACCACAUUCUCCUCUCCCCUAGAUAUUGCUGGGAUUUGCAAAGUUUAACGGUUUCUGUACCAAAAGUAACUUAGCUUAAAAUACUUGUUCCUUGAAAUGCCUGGGAAUUGGUAGGAAAGCACUUUCAAUCGGUAUUAGAAACAAACAUCUCCACUAUGUUCUGG
Molecule: long non-coding RNA, 214 nt
Filed under: Homo sapiens (human)
Lineage: Eukaryota; Metazoa; Chordata; Mammalia; Primates; Hominidae
Description: HSALNT0243845
Source: RNAcentral